This 279-nucleotide long non-coding RNA is filed under the name Coffea arabica (coffee). Its description in RNAcentral is "long non-coding RNA (CARA_LNC008250)". The record is from RNAcentral. Lineage: Eukaryota; Viridiplantae; Streptophyta; Magnoliopsida; Gentianales; Rubiaceae.
UGGGUGCAAUUGUUGAAGUUCUUGGGUGGGCUGGAAUUUUAACAAUUGUCUGUGAUAUUUUGGGAAGAAUCUCGGCCAGUGUUGUGCUUGUUGAAAUUUUGGUUGAUUUAAUUCGGCAACUGCAUUCCUUGUUGGCAUUAGUAGUUUUUAAUCGAGUUUUUGAGGACAUUCUGGAUGUUGGUUUAUAUUGCUGAUUUGGAGGAGCAGUGUCUGUGAUUUUGGUCUGAUCAUUUGUGCAAUUUGUUGACUCAUUUGAGGACUUAUUUGUUUCCUGGGUUU